This 395-nucleotide ribosomal RNA is filed under the name Protaspa sp. RNAcentral's name for it is "partial small subunit ribosomal RNA". It matches the Rfam family "Eukaryotic small subunit ribosomal RNA", at positions 582 to 975 of the family's 1831-position model. The record is from RNAcentral. Lineage: Eukaryota; Cercozoa; Thecofilosea; Cryomonadida; Protaspidae.
AUUCCAGCUCCAAGAGCGUAUAUUAAAGUUGUUGCAGUUAAAAAGCUCGUAGUUGGAUUUCUGUCAUAAUGCGAUUGGUCCGUUUCCUUUAGGCGAUGAGUACCGAUCUGCGUUUGACAUCCUUCUAGAAAACGUUUCUACCAUUUAUUUGGCCGGACUCGGGAUCUAGAUCUUUUACUUUGAAAAAAUUUGAGUGUUUAAAGCAGGCUUUUUGCUAUGAAAACAUUAGCAUGGAAUAAUAACAUAGGACUUUGGUUCUAUUUUGUUGGUUGGAGGCCAAGGUAAUGAUUAAUAGGGAUAGUUGGGGGUAUUCAUAUUUAAUUGUCAGAGGUGAAAUUCUUGGAUUUAUGAAAGAUGAACUAAUGCGAAAGCAUUUACCAAGGAUGUUUUCAUCA